This 463-nucleotide ribosomal RNA is filed under the name Staphylococcus aureus. Its description in RNAcentral is "bacterial SSU rRNA". It matches the Rfam family "Bacterial small subunit ribosomal RNA", at positions 49 to 495 of the family's 1533-position model. The record is from RNAcentral. Lineage: Bacteria; Bacillati; Bacillota; Bacilli; Caryophanales; Staphylococcaceae.
UAAUACAUGCAAGUCGAGCGAACGGACGAGAAGCUUGCUUCUCUGAUGUUAGCGGCGGACGGGUGAGUAACACGUGGAUAACCUACCUAUAAGACUGGGAUAACUUCGGGAAACCGGAGCUAAUACCGGAUAAUAUUUUGAACCGCAUGGUUCAAAAGUGAAAGACGGUCUUGCUGUCACUUAUAGAUGGAUCCGCGCUGCAUUAGCUAGUUGGUAAGGUAACGGCUUACCAAGGCAACGAUGCAUAGCCGACCUGAGAGGGUGAUCGGCCACACUGGAACUGAGACACGGUCCAGACUCCUACGGGAGGCAGCAGUAGGGAAUCUUCCGCAAUGGGCGAAAGCCUGACGGAGCAACGCCGCGUGAGUGAUGAAGGUCUUCGGAUCGUAAAACUCUGUUAUUAGGGAAGAACAUAUGUGUAAGUAACUGUGCACAUCUGACGGUACCUAAUCAGAAAGCCACG